GUGUCACAAAGAUUUCAUUGACGCAUACACUGCUGCAUAUACUCACACACAGACAUUGCCUCCCAUCUGUGUGAGUGGGUGAGUGAAUAAAGGGGCCCUCGAUCUUGGGUUAAAAAAAACAAAACAAAUUCAAGGCCUUUGAUGAAGGAAAAUUUCUCUGGUGGGUGAAGACCUUGAAAAUUCCCAUUUUUGUGAUUGUGUCCCAAAGCAGAGAUAGAGUUGGUGUGAAAACUUAUGCUGCAUACACAGAAAAUUUGAAAAACAAAUCUUCUUAAUCGCCUAAAGAAAAAUAAGAAAAAUCAGGGAGCAUACAAAGUAAGCAUCCAUUUUGAUAUACACUUGUGGUCCCCUGCAUUUCAUAUUUAAAUGUCAAGGCAAAACGCAUGACAUGAGCAAGGACAAAUGCCGAGUAGAAGUAGGAGCAGCACCCAACGAAAACCACUUGUUGAUGUGUGUGUGUGGGUGAUUGUUUUGGUGCCCCAACAGCUUAAUUAGUAUUUAAAUUUUCCAGGUUUGCCACUUGGUUGUUUGUGUUUAAAACCGACCUAAUUUGAAAAUGAUAUUAUUCCCAAAAAAAAAAUCUUUUACUUAUAUCCUGCCAAGAAAUUGCAGAAAUACCUCUCUCUCCCCCUCGACUUACCAAAAUUUUUUUUAUUUUGUUAUGAAAACGGAAAUUUUCAACAACAAACAUUUGAAAUAGCCCCAAGAGAAUUUCAGAAAAGAAA
Stomoxys calcitrans (stable fly) is the source of this 725-nucleotide long non-coding RNA. RefSeq lists it as uncharacterized. The transcript has 3 exons. The record is from RefSeq and is a predicted model, not a curated record. Lineage: Eukaryota; Metazoa; Arthropoda; Insecta; Diptera; Muscidae.